Molecule: long non-coding RNA, 652 nt
Organism: Mus musculus (house mouse)
Lineage: Eukaryota; Metazoa; Chordata; Mammalia; Rodentia; Muridae
Product: predicted gene, 46535
Exons: 3
Source: RefSeq, a predicted model, not a curated record
GAGAGUCUGGGUCUGGGCAGUCAGCUGGAAUUUCCAACUCUGCUGCAGUGUCUAUAGGGAGCAUAUGGCUGGCCUGCCCCUUCCCCUGAAGGUCCCUACCAGGCAUGUAAUGACCGUUGGGGACAGCUGCAACAGGAUAUGGCUUGAUCACUUCCAAGAUGACCCAUCUGGCCUGGAUCUCUUCUUCAGAUAUCCCUUCCAGUCCCCUGACCCUCCAGACCUCAGCCUCAACGGAGCAGCCAACAAGAAGCACCGGCUAGGUCCCAUUUGUGAAUCCCGAGAGGACCCGCUGCACACUGCACCGUCAGAAGGCAGGGAUCCUGACUGCUGCCAGGGAAGGGACAGCUAAUCCCUUUGGUGGCUCAGGCCACCAGCAACUAGGAUCUUCUCUAGGCACUGCAGUCUACAGGAUGCCUGUAGUGCGGAGAGAGCAUGUACGGGGUAUCCUGGGGCUGAAGUCGAGCCAGACAACCUGGAUGGAACACAGGGGCCAGGCACGUCCCAUCCUAGUUUAGGUCAACAGGUAAGCAGGCUCUUGAAGUGGAAACUUCAGGGUUCUUUGGGAAGUCGGUUGGAUGGGGCGAACAUGUGAAGGAACAUUUCACUGAAGCAGACACAGGUGAAAGGAUGUUCUGCCAGAGCAAGCACAUGA